CCCACUUGGGGUGUUUCUAAUAAUGCAAGUCGAGCGAACAGAAAAGGAGCUUGCUCCUUUGACGUUAGCGGCGGACGGGUGAGUAACACGUGGGCAACCUACCCUAUAGUUUGGGAUAACUCCGGGAAACCGGGGCUAAUACCGAAUAAUCUCUUUUACUUCAUGGUGAAAGACUGAAAGACGGCAUCUCGCUGUCGCUAUAGGAUGGGCCCGCGGCGCAUUAGCUAGUUGGUGAGGUAACGGCUCACCAAGGCGACGAUGCGUAGCCGACCUGAGAGGGUGAUCGGCCACACUGGGACUGAGACACGGCCCAGACUCCUACGGGAGGCAGCAGUAGGGAAUCUUCCACAAUGGGCGAAAGCCUGAUGGAGCAACGCCGCGUGAGUGAAGAAGGUUUUCGGAUCGUAAAACUCUGUUGUAAGGGAAGAACAAGUACAGUAGUAACUGGCUGUACCUUGACGGUACCUUAUUAGAAAGCCACGGCUAACUACGUGCCAGCAGCCGCGGUAAUACGUAGGUGGCAAGCGUUGUCCGGAAUUAUUGGGCGUAAAGCGCGCGCAGGCGGUCCUUUAAGUCUGAUGUGAAAGCCCACGGCUCAACCGUGGAGGGUCAUUGGAAACUGGGGGACUUGAGUGCAGAAGAGGAAAGUGGAAUUCCAAGUGUAGCGGUGAAAUGCGUAGAGAUUUGGAGGAACACCAGUGGCGAAGGCGACUUUCUGGUCUGUAACUGACGCUGAGGCGCGAAAGCGUGGGGAGCAAACAGGAUUAGAUACCCUGGUAGUCCACGCCGUAAACGAUGAGUGCUAAGUGUUAGGGGGGGUUUCCGCCCCUUAGUGCUGCAGCUAACGCAUUUAGCACUCCCGCCUGGGGAGUACGGUCGCCAAGACUGAAAACUCAUAGGAUUUGACGGGGGGCCCGCACAAGCGGUGGAAUCAUGUGGUUUAAUUCGAAGGCAACGCUAAGAAUCCUACCCAGGUCUUGAUCAUUCCCCGUUGAGCACUUGUAGAGAUAAGUAUUCCCCCUUCGGUGGGCCAACGGUGACAUGCUGCUGUCUUGGUAGUCGUUCACCUUGUGUCGUAGAGAGUUCGAUAAAGUCCCGCCACCAGCUCCCACUCCUCGAAUCUUAGUCGCCUUUAUCUAUUUGGACACUCCUAGGACACUGCCGUGACAAUACCGAUAGAAGGGGGGUUGACGCUCAUCAUAGGUCCUAAUGACUGGGCUUCACGAGUGCAGGACUCAUAAUUG
Molecule: ribosomal RNA, 1244 nt
Filed under: Bacillus sp. B13(2009)
Lineage: Bacteria; Bacillati; Bacillota; Bacilli; Caryophanales; Bacillaceae
Description: partial 16S ribosomal RNA
Rfam family: Bacterial small subunit ribosomal RNA
Source: RNAcentral